This 1199-nucleotide long non-coding RNA is filed under the name Homo sapiens (human). RNAcentral describes it as "non-protein coding lnc-EIF2AK3-31:1". Lineage: Eukaryota; Metazoa; Chordata; Mammalia; Primates; Hominidae. The record is from RNAcentral.
GCUUGGAGUACCCAUAAUACAGUGAGCCCACCUUCCUGGUCCCCAGACAUUUCAGGAGGUCGGGAAAUUUUUAAACCCAGGCAGCUUCCUGGCAGUGCCAUUUGGAGCAUCAAAAUGGGCCAUGGGUCUGGAUUUCCAGGAAAGCGGAGACCUCGAGGUGCAGGACUGUCGGGGCGAGGUGGCCGAGGCAGGUCAAAGCUGAAAAGUGGAAUCGGAGCUGUUGUAUUGCCUGGGGUGUCUACUGCAGAUAUUUCAUCAAAUAAGGAUGAUGAAGAAAACUCUGUGCUCGAUAUGGUUGUGUUGUUUUCUAGCAGUGACAAGUUCACUUUGAAUCAGUUUUCUUAACUUCAGGAUAUAUGUGUAGUUUGUGGCAGUUUUGGCCAAGGAGCAGAAGGAAGAUUACUUGCCUGUUCUCAGUGUGGUCAGUGUUACCAUCCAUACUGUGUCAGUAUUAAGGUAAACAUCCUUAAACUGAGUUUACAGAUCACUAAAGUGGUUCUUAGCAAAGGUUGGAGGUGUCUUGAGUGCACUGUGUGUGAGGCCUGUGGGAAGGCAACUGACCCAGGAAGACUCCUGCUGUGUGAUGAUUGUGACAUAAGUUAUCACACCUACUGCCUAGACCCUCCAUUGCAGACAGUUCCCAAAGGAGGCUGGAAGUGCAAAUGGUUCUCUAGGGGGGGGAUUUGGAUUUCAGGUGUGUUUGGUGCAGACACUGUGGAGCAACAUCUGCAGGUCUAAGAUGUGAAUGGCAGAACAAUUACACACAGUGCGCUCCUUGUGCAAGUUUAUCUUCCUGUCCAGUCUGCUAUUGAAACUAUAGAGAAGAAGAUCUUAUUCUGCAAUGAAGACAAUGUGAUAGGUAUAGAUGGAUGCAUGCAGUUCGUCAGAACUUAAAUACUGAGGAAGAAGUGGAAAAUGUAGCAGACAUUGGUUUUGAUUGCAACAUGUGCAGACCCUAUAUGCCUGCGUCUAAUGGUAAAAGUUAGACCCACCCAAGACUUAUACCCAGGAUGGUGUGUGUUUGACUGAAUCAGGGAUGACUCAGUUACAGAGCCUCACAGUUACAGUUCCAAGAAGAAAACUGUCAAAACCAAAACUGAAAUUGAAGAUUAUAAAUCAGAAAUAGCGUGGCCGUCCUUCAGACACCUCCAGACAUCCAAUCAGAACAUUCAAGGGAUGGUGAUAUGGAUGAUAGUCGA